This 429-nucleotide ribosomal RNA is filed under the name Bacteroidota bacterium. RNAcentral describes it as "Bacteroidetes bacterium partial 16S ribosomal RNA". It matches the Rfam family "Bacterial small subunit ribosomal RNA", at positions 355 to 776 of the family's 1533-position model. The record is from RNAcentral. Lineage: Bacteria; Pseudomonadati; Bacteroidota.
UAGGGAAUCUUCGGCAAUGGGGGGAACCCUGACCGAGCAACGCCGCGUGAGUGAAGAAGGUUUUCGGAUCGUAAAGCUCUGUUGUUAAGGAAGAACGAGUGUGAGACUGGAAAGUUCAUACUGUGACGGUACUUAACCAGAAAGGGACGGCUAACUACGUGCCAGCAGCCGCGGUAAUACGUAGGUCCCGAGCGUUGUCCGGAUUUAUUGGGCGUAAAGCGAGCGCAGGCGGUUAGAUAAGUCUGAAGUUAAAGGCAGUGGCUCAACCAUUGUAGGCUUUGGAAACUGUUUAACUUGAGUGCAGAAGGGGAGAGUGGAAUUCCAGGUGUAGCGGUGAAAUGCGUAGAUAUAUGGAGGAACACCGGUGGCGAAGGCGGCUCUCUGGUCUGUAACUGACGCUGAGGCUCGAAAGCGUGGGGAGCGAACAGG